AUAUUGGUGGUUCAGUGGUAGAAUUCUCGCCUUCCACAUGGGAGACCCAGGUUCCAUUCCCAGCCAAUGCA
RNAcentral lists this transfer RNA (71 nucleotides) under Loxodonta africana (African savanna elephant). It matches the Rfam family "tRNA". Rfam says of the family: Transfer RNA (tRNA) molecules are approximately 80 nucleotides in length. Their secondary structure includes four short double-helical elements and three loops (D, anti-codon, and T loops). Further hydrogen bonds mediate the characteristic L-shaped molecular structure. tRNAs have two regions of fundamental functional importance: the anti-codon, which is responsible for specific mRNA codon recognition, and the 3' end, to which the tRNAs corresponding amino acid is attached (by aminoacyl-tRNA synthetases). tRNAs cope with the degeneracy of the genetic code in two manners: having more than one tRNA (with a specific anti-codon) for a particular amino acid; and 'wobble' base-pairing, i.e. permitting non-standard base-pairing at the 3rd anti-codon position. The record is from Rfam by way of RNAcentral. Lineage: Eukaryota; Metazoa; Chordata; Mammalia; Proboscidea; Elephantidae.